This 497-nucleotide ribosomal RNA is filed under the name uncultured bacterium. RNAcentral describes it as "partial 16S ribosomal RNA". It matches the Rfam family "Bacterial small subunit ribosomal RNA", at positions 28 to 507 of the family's 1533-position model. The record is from RNAcentral.
GAUGAACGCUGGCGGCGUGCCUAAUGCAUGCAAGUCGAGCGAACGGACGAGAAGCUUGCUUCUCUGAUGUUAGCGGCGGACGGGUGAGUAACACGUGGAUAACCUACCUAUAAGACUGGGAUAACUUCGGGAAACCGGAGCUAAUACCGGAUAAUAUUUUGAACCGCAUGGUUCAAAAGUGAAAGACGGUCUUGCUGUCACUUAUAGAUGGAUCCGCGCUGCAUUAGCUAGUUGGUAAGGUAACGGCUUACCAAGGCAACGAUGCAUAGCCGACCUGAGAGGGUGAUCGGCCACACUGGAACUGAGACACGGUCCAGACUCCUACGGGAGGCAGCAGUAGGGAAUCUUCCGCAAUGGGCGAAAGCCUGACGGAGCAACGCCGCGUGAGUGAUGAAGGUCUUCGGAUCGUAAAACUCUGUUAUUAGGGAAUAACAUAUGUGUAAGUAACUGUGCACAUCUUGACGGUACCUAAUCAGAAAGCCACGGCUAACUACGUG